RNAcentral lists this ribosomal RNA (633 nucleotides) under uncultured bacterium. RNAcentral describes it as "bacterial SSU rRNA". It matches the Rfam family "Bacterial small subunit ribosomal RNA", at positions 271 to 916 of the family's 1533-position model. The record is from RNAcentral.
AGGCAAUGACGGGUAGGGGGUGUGAGAGCAUGGCCCCCAACAUUGGAACUGAGACACUGUCCAAACUCCUACGGGAGGCUGCAGUCGAGAAUAUUUGUCAAUGGGCGAAAGCCUGAACAAGCGAUGCCGCGUGUGGGAUGAAGGCCCUUGGGUCGUAAACCACUUUUGUUAUAGAAAAACUUACGUGAUGGUAUAUAGCGAAUAAGAGGUUACUAACUCUGUGCCAGCAGUAGCGGUAAUACAGAGACCUCAAGCGUUAUCCGGAUUUAUUGGGCGUAAAGAGCAGGUAGGUGGAAAUAUUAGUCAGAUGUCAAAUCCUUCGACUCAAUCGAAGAACUGCAUUUGAAACGGUAUUUCUAGAGGGAGUGAGAGAUUACUGGAACUUAUGGUGUAGCAGUGAAAUGCGUUGAUAUCAUGAGGAACACCAAAGGCGAAGGCAUGUAAUUGGCACUCUCCUGACACUGAGCUGCGAAAGCGUGGGUAGCGAAUGGGAUUAGAUACCCCAGUAGUCCACGCCCUAAACGUUGCACACUAGACAUGCGGGUAAUCGACCCCUCUCGUGUCGUAGCUAACGCGUUAAGUGUGCCGCCUGGGAAGUACGGUCGCAAGACUAAAACUCAAAGGAAUUGACGG